AGGACAAAGUACACAGAGUGGAAGUUGGAGGGAGGUGUCAUCCGACCUGCUACAGCCUGCUAUUAUGUGGUUCCCUGCUGGAGUGAAAACAAGGAGACAGCUAUCUUGGUCAUCUCCCAGCUUCCACACCGCUCUCUAGAGUUCAGUCAAGGGUUCACCCAGUUUCCACACCACUCUCCAGAGCUCCACUAAGGGUUCUCGAGAGCUCUGCCAAGGGUUCCAGCAAUUGCAUCGCCACUCUCCAAGGUUCCUCCGAGGGUUCCAGCUGUUCCACCAUGGUUCUCCAGGGUUCCUGAGUCCAGAUGAGCAGUCACCAGAGUUCAUGCAUGGGUUCCUGCGGUCAGUGGACCAGCUUCCUGAGCUUCUUUGUGAGCACCAGAGCUAUGUGAUGCAGUUUUUAGAGCUCCAUUGUGGCUUCUAAUCUCCAGAGCUCUAUCAUGGCUUCCAGUCUCCACAGCUCUAUUGUGGCUUCCAGUGUCCAGAGCUCCGUUGUGGCUUCCAGUGUCCAGAGCUCCAUUGUGGCUUCCAGUGUCCAGAACUCCAUUGUGGCUUCCAGUGUCCAGAGCUCCAUUGUGGCUUCCAAUCUCCAGAGCUCCAUUGUGGCUUUCAGUGUCCAGAGCGGAAUCAUGGCUUUCAGUCGUAUCUCCAGAGCUCCAUCAUGGCUUCCAGUCUCCAGAGCUCCAUUGUGGUUUCCAGUCUCCAGAGUUCCAUCAUGGCCUCCAGUCUAUGGGGCUCCUCUGUGGUCUUAGAUCUCCAAUUCAACGUCCAGUGACGAUCUCCAUGGGUUCUUCAUGCCACAUGGUCGACAGCCCAACAAGGAUACCCAAGGGUCCUCUACACUUCCUGGUCAAGGGUCUCUGUUGGCCCGUGGUCCAAGCGCCGUGGUUGACCUCCAGACAAGGUUCUCCAUGUGUUUUUCAAGCCCCAUGGUCGACCUCCAGACAAAGUUCUCCGUUGGUUCUCCCUGUUCCCUAGCUGGCCUCAAAGUUUAUGCUUUACCCUGGCCUCCAAGGUCUCUGCCAUUGUUGACCUCCAAGGUUCCUGCACCUAAGAUUUCUACGGCUUGGUCUCUACCACCUCCAAGGUUCCCGCAUCUCAGAUCUCCAGGGCUUUGUCUCUGCCGCCGGCCAUCUGAACUCUGUGCCUCCUGAUGACAUCCCAGUUGCCCGCCCGAACUCUGUUUUUUGCUUCUUGCUUUUCUUCUGAGCCCCACCCUGUCCUACAUUUUAUGGAUGUUGUGAUGCCCUCCUUCCAAGGCCCCUCCACCCACCCUCUUCAGGUUGUUUUGUUUUUUUCUUGGACCGUGGUAUGGCAUCCAGUAUCUGCCUUGGUAAUGUCAUGAUCGACAACUGUUUGUGUUCCUUUUAACUCCACUCACCUGUUUUCCAUUUUGUUCCUUUUAACUCAGUUGUGUUUAUGUCCCUGUUUUCUGUCCCUUCAUUGUCAGGUCUUAUGCUAUAUUCCGUAUUGCCACUGCUGUUGUCAUCCCUGGAUUGUUGCACUUCCUUUGUUGUCCUGUGAGUCAUCCACUAGGAGCCUGCCGAUGUCCUGUUGGCAAUGGCAAAAUAACACUGUUGUGCACAUUGAGCAUAUUAAAUGAAAAAUUCUACAAAA
Long non-coding RNA from Girardinichthys multiradiatus, 1614 nucleotides. RefSeq lists it as uncharacterized. The record is from RefSeq and is a predicted model, not a curated record. The transcript is spliced from 3 exons. NCBI's taxonomy places the organism in Eukaryota, Metazoa, Chordata, Actinopteri, Cyprinodontiformes, Goodeidae.